Molecule: unclassified non-coding RNA, 254 nt
Filed under: Glomeraceae sp.
Lineage: Eukaryota; Fungi; Glomeromycota; Glomeromycetes; Glomerales; Glomeraceae
Description: partial contains 5.8S ribosomal RNA and internal transcribed spacer 2
Rfam family: 5.8S ribosomal RNA (bases 1-65)
Source: RNAcentral
GUGAAUCAUCAAAUUUUUGAACGCAAAUUGCACUCUCUUUUGAGAGUAUGCCUGUUUGAGGGUCAGUAAUAAUAAAAUCGUGGUGUUGCGUUCUUUGUGACGCACCGGAGAUUGGGCUACCUUGAACUUUCGGGUUUAAGGUGCUUAAAAGUGAAAUUUUUUGCUCACUUUUAGACGUACAUAGAUUUAUUUUAUCGUCUAUUCUGGUGCCAAUUAUCUAUUAGGUGCGAUCACGUUUAUAUGAUCUCUUGCCC